CCAUCUGGUCCUGGACUUCUGUUUGUUGGAAGUUUUUUAAUCACAGUUUCAAUUUCAGUUCUUGUGAUAGGUCCAUUCAUCUUUUCUAUUUCAUCUUGGGUUUAGUCUUGGAAGAUUGUAUUUUUCUAAGAAUUUGUCCAUUUCUUCUAGGUUUUCCAUUUUAUUGGCACAGAGUUCCAUGUAGUCUCUUAUGAUCCUUUGUAUUUCUGUGAUGUCCAUUGUAACUUCUCCUUUCUCAUUUCUAAUUUUAUUGAUUUGAGUCCUCUCUUUUUUUCUUGAUAAGUCUGGCUAGGGGUUUAUCAAUUUUGUUGAUCUUUUCAAAGAACCAGCUUUUUGUUUCACUGAUCUUUUCUAUGGUUUUCUUCAUUUCUUUUUUAUUGAUUUCUGCUGUGAUCUUUAUGAUUUCUUUCCUUCUGCUAACUCCAGGUCUUGUUUGUUCCUCUGUCUCUAGCUGCUUUAGAUGUAAAGUUAGGUUUUUUAUUUGGGCUUUUUCUUGUUUCCUGAGAUAGGCUUGUAUUGAUAUAAAGUUGCCUCUUGCAACUGCUUUUGCUGCAUCCCAUAGGUUUUGGAGUGUCAUAUCUUUCUUGUCAUUUGCUUCUAGGUAUUUUUUAAUUUCCUUUUGAUUUCUUAAGUGAUCCAUUGGUUGUUUAGUCACAUGUUGUUGAGUCUCCACAUGUUUGUGUUUUUUGCAAUAUUUUUCUUGUUGAUUUCCAGUCAUAUAACAUUGUGGUCUGAAACAAUGCUUGAUAUGAUUUAAAUUUUAUUAAAGCUGCUGAGGCUUUAUUUGCAGCCCAGAAUGUGAUCAAUCUUAGAAAAUGUUCUGUGUGCACUUGAGAAGAAUGUGUAUUCCACUGCUUUUGGAUGGAAUGUUCUAUAAAUAUCUAUUAAGUCCAUCUGGUCUAAUGCUUCAUUCAGGGCCUGUGUUUUCUUGUUGAUUUUAUGUAUGGUUGAUCUGUCCAUUGCUGUAAGUGGGAUGUUAAAAUCCCCCACUAUUAUUGUGCUAUUGUCAGUUUCUCCUUUUAAGGUUGUUAGCAGUUGCCUUAUAUAUUGAGGUGAUUCUAGGUUGGGUGCAUACAUAUUUAAAAUUGUUAUAUCAUCAUCUUGGAUUAAUCCUUUGAUCAUUAUGUAAUGUCCUUCCUUGUCUCUUAAAAUAUUCUUCAUUUUAAGGUCUAUUUUGUCUGACAUGCAUAUUUCUACUCCAGCUUUCUUUUGAUUCUCAUUUGCAUGGAAUAUUUUCUUCCAUUCUCCCACUUUCAAUUUGUAUGUGUCCCUAGAAGUGAAGUGGGUCUCUUGUUUUUAUAUCCAUUCAGCCAGGGUAUGUUGUUUGACUGAAGCAUUUACUUCGUUAACAUUUAAGGUAAUUAUUGAUAUGUAUGUUCUUACUGCCAUUUUAUUAACUGUUUUGGAUGUGGUUUUGUUGCUCUUUUUUCUUCCCUUCUUCCUUUGUUUUCUCAUCUUGUGGUUUGAUGAUUAUCUUGUAUUUGAGUUGAUUUUUCUUAUUUGUUUUUGUAUCAAUUGUAGAUUUUUGGUUUGCAGUUGCCCUGACAUUUUGAUAUAGGAGUAUAUUUUUAUGAGAUUGUUUUAAGUUGUUGAUCUCUUAAUUGCAAGUGCAGACCAGUGUCCUGCAUUUGUACCUCUUCUCACAAUUUCUGAUUUUGGUAGCAUAUUUGUGCAUGGAUGAUUUCCUACCUUUACUGUAUAUAUCCCUUUACUUGUGAGCCUUGUCAAAUGUGGUAUUGUUGUUUCAGGUUGUGGCCUUUUAUUUUCUGCCUAGAGAAGUUUCUUUAGUAUUUGUUUUAAGACUUGUUUAGUAUUGCUGAAUUCUCUUAGCUGCUGCUUAUCUCUAAAUCUUUUGAUUUCUCCUUCAAAUCUGAUUGAGAACCUUGCUGGGUACAGUAAUCUUGGUUGGAGGUUUUUUCCUUUCAUCACGUUAAGUAUUUCAUGCCACUCCCUUCUGGCCUGCAGAGUUUCUCUGAAAAAUCUGCCAUUAACCUUGUUGGGGUUCCCUUGUAUGUUAUUUGUUUAUUUUCCCUAGCUUCUUUCUAUAUUUUCUCUUUGUUUUUAAUUUUGUUCAGUUUGAUUAAUAUGUGUCUUGGUGUGUUCCUCCUUGGGUUUAUUUUAAAUGGUACUCAUUGUGCUUCCUGGAUUUGGGUGAGUCAUUCCUUUCCCAUACUAGGGAAGUUUUUGGUAUUAUGUCUUUGAAUAUUUUUUCUGUCCCUUUCUCUCUCUCUUCUCCUCUGGCACCCCUAUAAUAUGGAUGUUGGUGCAUUUAAUGUUGUCCCAGAGUUCUUUGAGACUGUCUUCAUUUCUUUUCAAUCUUUUUUCUCUUUUCUAUUCCACAUCCAUGAUUUCCACCAGUCUGUCCUCCACCUCACUUAUUCAUUCUUCUGCCUCCUGUAUUCUGCUGUUGGCUGCUUCUAAUGAAUUUUUUAUUUUGGUUAUUUUGUUUUGAAUCUCUUCUUGCUUAAGUUUUAAGUCAUAUUUAUUUGCUCAGUGUUUCCUAUAAAUUAUCCAUCUUUGCCUCCAGUUUAUUUCCAAUGUCUUGUAUCAUCUUCCACAUCAUCAGUCUAAAGUCUUUUUCCUGGAAGUUGAUAAUCUCCAGAUCACUUAGCUGUUUUUCUGGGGUUUUUUCUUUCUCCCUUAUCUGAGUUAUAGUUCUCUGCCUUUUCUUUUUUAUAGGUUUUGGUGUGGUGUCCUUUUUACAGAUAAUAGAGUUGUAGCCUCUCUUACUUCUGAUGUCUGCCCGCCUGUGGCUGAAGUUGGUAUGGGGGCUUGCUUUAGGCUUCCUGAUGGGAGGGACUGGUGCCUGCCCACAGGUAGGUGGGGCUUAUUUGUAUUUUCUGGUGGUUGGGGCUUUGUCUAUGGGUGAGAUUAGAGGGGCUCUGUGCCUGGGGGGUCCUUAGGCAGCCUAUUUACCGAUGGGUGGGGCCAGAUUUUCCCAAAAUGGCCACCUCUGGAGAAUCACACACUGAUGAAUAUUCCAGAGAGCUCUGCCUCCAAUGUUCUUCCCUCAUAACAAGCCACAGUCACCCACUGUUUUCCCAGGAGGUCCUCCAAGAUCUGCAGUCAGGUUCAACCCAUAUUCCUAUGGAUACUCUGCUUUGCCCUGGGACCCCAUGCCAAUAAAAGUCUGCAUGUGCCUUUCAAGAAUGGGGUCCAUUUCCCCUCAGUCCCAUGGAGCUCCUGCACAUAAUCCCCACUGGCCUUCAAUGCCAGAUGCUCCGGGGGCUCUUUCUCCAAGUGCCGGAUCCCAAGGCAUGGGAUUUUGAGGUGGGUCUUUUACUCCUGUGGGUGACUCUCUGUGAUAAGAGUUACUUUCCAGUCUGUGGGGGUUCCCUCCCAAGAGGUAAGGGGUUCUUAUAUUGUGUAAUCACCCCUCCAACCUCUUGAUGUGGCCUCCUCUUUGUCUUCUGGAGUAGGAUAUCUUUUUGAAAGUUUCUGGUCCAUUUGGUUGAAGAUUGCUCAGCAUUUGGUUGUAAUUUUGUUGUUUUUAUGAGAGAAGUUGAGCUCUGGUCCUUCUAUUCCACCAUCUUAAUUCCAUCCCCAAAACACAUUUUAAAGUUUCUGAUGCAUCAUUACUGUUGAAGGGACUGUGAUCAUUAUAUUUGAAUAAAUCUUGUUAGCUAAAGGAACAUAUGAUAUUGUAUGGAAAUAACCAUAGUCAUAAUUAUUGUCAAUAGUAAGAGCUAACAUAGUAAGUAUCUAUAAGCAAUUGUGAUAAAUAAUAAAGUCUUAUAUAUUUUCUCACUGUAUUGUUUGGGGUCCCAGGAUAACACAUUUUUGUAGGACCUUGUAAAGAUAUUUGUAUCAAACAAAUGUCACCUUGUAAAGAUAUUUUAUUUUAUUUCAUCACUAAACUGUCCUCUAAAUUAGUUGAAAAUUGUAGGUCUCAAGAUAAAAAUAGGCUCAUGAUGCCUUGUUAUGAUGUGGCAAUUUGAAUUUUGAUAUAGGUGAUGAGUUUGAAAUGUGAGGGUGUAUUCACCUUCUUGCAAUAUAAUUUGGAGGAAUGGAUAGGUCAAUCAUGUAGGUAAACAGACUUUGCAUGCUAAUUACUCUUGAGAGUCAAGACUUUAUUAAGCUAUUCUUAUAGGAGACAAAGCUUCUUAUCCCUUUAUACAGGCCAGUCUGAAGCAUUGCCACAUGAUGUCUUGUCUGUUUUGACGCUGGAAACUUAUAGUGGAAUCGUUGACUCUCUGAUCACUAGCAGUUGACCAAGCCUCCUUUGAUUCCCAGAAUGUUGAAACUUCUCUCUUUUGCCUGUCAUCCCUCACAGUCAGCAAUUUGCCAAAGUUUCAUCUUUGAGGUGUGUUGCAUUUCUAAGUACACAUUAAAAUCAGCUCACCAAUU
This 4347-nucleotide long non-coding RNA is filed under the name Sus scrofa (pig). RNAcentral describes it as "lncRNA (ENSSSCG00000062731.1)". Lineage: Eukaryota; Metazoa; Chordata; Mammalia; Artiodactyla; Suidae. The record is from RNAcentral.